Molecule: ribosomal RNA, 463 nt
Filed under: Vreelandella stevensii
Lineage: Bacteria; Pseudomonadati; Pseudomonadota; Gammaproteobacteria; Oceanospirillales; Halomonadaceae
Description: partial 16S ribosomal RNA
Rfam family: Bacterial small subunit ribosomal RNA
Source: RNAcentral
CCUACGGGGGGCUGCAGUGGGGAAUAUUGGACAAUGGGCGAAAGCCUGAUCCAGCCAUGCCGCGUGUGUGAAGAAGGCCUUCGGGUUGUAAAGCACUUUCAGUGGGGAAGAAAGCCUUGGGGCUAAUACCCUCGAGGAAGGACAUCACCCACAGAAGAAGCACCGGCUAACUCCGUGCCAGCAGCCGCGGUAAUACGGAGGGUGCGAGCGUUAAUCGGAAUUACUGGGCGUAAAGCGCGCGUAGGCGGUCUGAUAAGCCGGUUGUGAAAGCCCCGGGCUCAACCUGGGAACGGCAUCCGGAACUGUCAGGCUAGAGUGCAGGAGAGGAAGGUAGAAUUCCCGGUGUAGCUGUGAAAUGCGUAGAGAUCGGGAGGAAUACCAGUGGCGAAGGCGGCCUUCUGGACUGACACUGACGCUGAGGUGCGAAAGCGUGGGUAGCAAACAGGAUUAGAUACCGAGUAGU